AAUUAUUAAAAAUAAGACAAAAAAAAAUGACAAAAUUGGUUUGUCAUUAGAGCCAAAAUCAUUUUGGAGUAAAUUGCAUCAAACUUAUCCAUGGGAAAAGCAUUAGUUUUGCUAAUAUGGAAAUAAAAUAUACAAAAGCUUCAAUAAUGAAGAAAAGAAAGCUACUGCAUUAUUUAAAACACUUGAAACAACUGAGACUCCUUGUAUGUUGAAGUACAAAGUUGAUAAUGAUUUUCAUGAUCAGUAUAUGAUAAGGCAAGAAGUGUGGCUAAAAUAUUUGAUGUGCUAAUGCAAUUAAUUAACCGACAAUCUCAAAAAUGCGUUUAAACAAAUGACGAAAUUGAUUUGUCAUUAGAGCCAAGAUCAUUUUGAAGUCUAUUGCAUCAUCAAAUUCAUUCAUUGGAAAAGCAUUAGUCUUGUUGAUGUAUUUGAAAUGAAAUAUAGCUAUGACAAGCUUCAAUGAUGCAGAUAAUGAAAAGAGAAGAACGUGAAAAGAGAGCUACUGCACUAUGUAAAAUAAUUGAGACAGCUGAGGCUGUUUUUUAUGCUAAAAUAUAACGUGAAAAAUACCAAGUGAAUGAUGUUAAUGUUAAAAGUGUUAUAUAGCACGUUGACUUUAGUUUAUCUUUUAAAAGUUGAGUGAAUUGUUUAUAAACUAUUUGAUAAUUAAACAAUCAUGAAAUACUGGUACACUUGAAUCCCCCAACAAAAUGCAUCAAGACCAUCCACAUCAUAUUAUGCUUCAACAAUGAUGAAUCUCUGAUAAUGAAAACUUAUUCCUUAAUUAUUAUAAAGUUCAACUUCAAUUGGAUCUAAAAAUAAUUAAGUUGAAAUGAAUCUCAACACUUAAUUAAUUAUUUAAUAUGAUUUCACCAGAAAACUUUACCUUUUUUUCAACUACAAAAUUGAAGACUAUGACAUGGUGCUGGUGUUAUUGAUUUAAUGCUCUUUUAAAUGUACUGUUGUUAUUAGUGAAUAUUUACUUGUUUUUAUCGAGCUUUAUCAAUGUUUAUUAAAAUUUCUUUUGAUAAGCCGAUGUUGUUGCUUACAAAGGAACCACGUGUUGCUUAGUGUUGCUGUUCAGAAUUUUAAAAAAGUUGUGCCUCUACUAUAAAGAAUGCUAAAAAUAUUAUAAACAGCUGGCUUAAAAUCUUCUUUUCAAAGUAAUAAAUCGUUUUCAAAUUAUUAAUAAUAACAUAAAAAAGUGAAUUAUCAAACCAACAAGAAUAAAAUAUUAAAAUAAAUUUAAUAUAAAAAAAGAAAACUAAAUUAAUUUAUAAACUGUGGUGUAAAAGUGAUGAUGGUAGUAGUGAAAAGUGAUUAUUAUUUUGUGUUCGUGCUGUGUGUGAUCAUUAAACCUGUACUGCUGAUCAGACAAAAUCAUCAUGAACUACUACAUGACAUUGGAGCAUUUUGAUAACCAGCGUGGGAACAUGAACACCCCCUA
Long non-coding RNA from Aphidius gifuensis, 1447 nucleotides. RefSeq lists it as uncharacterized. The transcript is spliced from 4 exons. The record is from RefSeq and is a predicted model, not a curated record. NCBI's taxonomy places the organism in Eukaryota, Metazoa, Arthropoda, Insecta, Hymenoptera, Braconidae.